UACGGAGGGUGCAAGCGUUGUUCGGAUUUAUUGGGCGUAAAGCGCGUGUAGGCGGUUUCCUAAGUCUGAUGUGAAAGCCCUGGGCUCAACCCAGGAAGUGCAUUGGAUACUGGGAGACUUGAAUACGGGAGAGGGUAGUGGAAUUCCUAGUGUAGGAGUGAAAUCCGUAGAUAUUAGGAGGAACACCGGUGGCGAAGGCGGCUACCUGGACCGAUAUUGACGCUGAGACGCGAAAGCGUGGGGAGCAAACAGG
RNAcentral lists this ribosomal RNA (253 nucleotides) under uncultured bacterium. RNAcentral's name for it is "partial 16S ribosomal RNA". It matches the Rfam family "Bacterial small subunit ribosomal RNA", at positions 524 to 776 of the family's 1533-position model. The record is from RNAcentral.